CAGCAGCCGCGGUAAUACGUAGGGGGCGAGCGUUGUCCGGAAUUACUGGGCGUAAAGGGUACGUAGGCGGCCAGGUAAGUCAGGUGUGAAAUUCUAGGGCUCAACCCUAGAUAGCACUUGAAACUGCUUGGCUUGAGUACAGAAGAGGAGAGCGGAAUUCCACGUGUAGCGGUGAAAUGCGUAGAGAUGUGGAGGAACACCAGUGGCGAAGGCGGCUCUCUGGUCUGUAACUGACGCUGAGGCGCGAAAGCGUGGGUAGCGAACAGGAUUAGAUACCCUGGUAGUCCACGCCGUAAACGAUGAGUGCUAGGUGUUAGGGGUUUCCACCCUUAGUGCUGCAGUUAACGCAAUAAGCACUCCGCCUGGGGAGUACGGCCGCAAGGCUGAAACUCAAAGGAAUUGACGG
This 406-nucleotide ribosomal RNA is filed under the name uncultured bacterium. RNAcentral describes it as "bacterial SSU rRNA". It matches the Rfam family "Bacterial small subunit ribosomal RNA", at positions 509 to 916 of the family's 1533-position model. The record is from RNAcentral.